CAGUAGCCACGGUAAUACAGAGGGUGCGAGCGUUAAUCGGAUUUACUGGGCGUAAAGCGUGCGUAGGCGGCUAAUUGAGUCGGAUGUGAAAUCCCCGAGCUUAACUUGGGAAUUGCAUUCGAUACUGGUUAGCUAGAGUGUGGGAGAGGAUGGUAGAAUUCCAGGUGUAGCGGUGAAAUGCGUAGAGAUCUGGAGGAAUACCGAUGGCGAAGGCAGCCAUCUGGCCUAACACUGACGCUGAGGUACGAAAGCAUGGGGAGCAAACAGGAUUAGAUACCCGGGUAGUCCCUGUCUCUUAUAC
RNAcentral lists this ribosomal RNA (301 nucleotides) under uncultured bacterium. Its description in RNAcentral is "partial 16S ribosomal RNA". It matches the Rfam family "Bacterial small subunit ribosomal RNA", at positions 509 to 807 of the family's 1533-position model. The record is from RNAcentral.